UACGGAGGGUGCAAGCGUUAUCGGAAUUACUGGGCGUAAAGCGUGCGCAGGCGGUUUUGUAAGUCUGACGUGAAAUCCCCGGGCUCAACCUGGGAAUUGCGUUGGAGACUGCAAGGCUAGAAUCUGGCAGAGGGGGGUAGAAUUCCACGUGUAGCAGUGAAAUGCGUAGAGAUGUGGAGGAACACCGAUGGCGAAGGCAGCCCCCUGGGUCAAGAUUGACGCUCAUGCACGAAAGCGUGGGGAGCAAACAAGG
Molecule: ribosomal RNA, 253 nt
Filed under: uncultured bacterium
Lineage: Bacteria
Description: partial 16S ribosomal RNA
Rfam family: Bacterial small subunit ribosomal RNA
Source: RNAcentral